This 496-nucleotide ribosomal RNA is filed under the name uncultured bacterium. Its description in RNAcentral is "partial 16S ribosomal RNA". It matches the Rfam family "Bacterial small subunit ribosomal RNA", at positions 28 to 506 of the family's 1533-position model. The record is from RNAcentral.
GAUGAACGCUGGCGGCGUGCCUAAUACAUGCAAGUCGAGCGAACAGACGAGGAGCUUGCUCCUCUGACGUUAGCGGCGGACGGGUGAGUAACACGUGGAUAACCUACCUAUAAGACUGGGAUAACUUCGGGAAACCGGAGCUAAUACCGGAUAAUAUAUUGAACCGCAUGGUUCAAUAGUGAAAGACGGUUUUGCUGUCACUUAUAGAUGGAUCCGCGCCGCAUUAGCUAGUUGGUAAGGUAACGGCUUACCAAGGCAACGAUGCGUAGCCGACUUGAGAGGGGGAUCGGCCCAACGGGAAAUGAGACCCGGUCCAAACCCCCACGGGGGGCAGCAGUAGGAAAUCUCCCGAAAUGGGCGAAAGCCUGACGGAGCAACGCCCGGUGGGUGAUGAAGGUUUUCGGAUCGUAAAACUUUUUUAUUAGGGAAAAAAAAAUGUGUAAGUAACUAUGCACGUUUUGACGGUACCUAAUCAAAAAGCCCCGGCAAAAUACGG